AUCCUGGCUCAGGAUUAGAUACCCUGGGAGUCAUGAGUUUUAACCUGCGUCAGAAUUACACGCGAGUAACCUGCCCUUAACUCUGGGAUAAGCCUGGGAAACUGGGUCUAAUACCGGAUAGGAGCGUCCACCGCAUGGUGGGUGUUGGAAAGAUUUAUCGGUUUUGGAUGGACUCGCGGCCUAUCAGCUUGUUGGUGAGGUAAUGGCUCACCAAGGCGACGACGGGUAGCCGGCCUGAGAGGGUGACCGGCCACACUGGGACUGAGACACGGCCCAGACUCCUACGGGAGGCAGCAGUGGGGAAUAUUGCACAAUGGGCGCAAGCCUGAUGCAGCGACGCCGCGUGAGGGAUGACGGCCUUCGGGUUGUAAACCUCUUUCAGUAGGGAAGAAGCGAAAGUGACGGUACCUGCAGAAGAAGCACCGGCUAACUACGUGCCAGCAGCCGCGGUAAUACGUAGGGUGCGAGCGUUAUCCGGAAUUAUUGGGCGUAAAGAGCUCGUAGGCGGUUUGUCGCGUCUGUCGUGAAAGUCCGGGGCUUAACCCCGGAUCUGCGGUGGGUACGGGCAGACUAGAGUGCAGUAGGGGAGACUGGAAUUCCUGGUGUAGCGGUGGAAUGCGCAGAUUUCAGUAGCAUCGUAGUCGUCAGUUUCAUCUCGGCGCACGAUUAGAUACCCUGGUAGUC
RNAcentral lists this ribosomal RNA (684 nucleotides) under Micrococcus sp. K184. RNAcentral's name for it is "bacterial SSU rRNA". It matches the Rfam family "Bacterial small subunit ribosomal RNA", at positions 55 to 740 of the family's 1533-position model. Lineage: Bacteria; Bacillati; Actinomycetota; Actinomycetes; Micrococcales; Micrococcaceae. The record is from RNAcentral.